GACGAACGCUGGCGGCGUGCUUAACACAUGCAAGUCGAACGAUGAAGCCGGAGCUUGCUCCGGUGGAUUAGUGGCGAACGGGUGAGUAACACGCGAGCAAUCUGCCCUUGACUCUGGGAUAACUGCGGGAAACUGUAGCUAAUACCGGAUACGACACCUUGGGGCAUCCCAGGGUGUGGAAAGAAUUUCGGUCAAGGAUGAGCUCGCGGCCUAUCAGCUAGUUGGUGAGGUAAUGGCUCACCAAGGCGACGACGGGUAGCCGGCCUGAGAGGGUGACCGGCCACACUGGAACUGAGACACGGUCCAGACUCCUACGGGAGGCAGCAGUGGGGAAUAUUGCACAAUGGGCGAAAGCCUGAUGCAGCAACGCCGCGUGAGGGAUGAAGGCCUUCGGGUUGUAAACCUCUUUUAGCAGCGAAGAAGCGAAAGUGACGGUACCUGCAGAAAAAGCACCGGCUAACUACGUGCCAGCCGCCGCGGUAA
This 483-nucleotide ribosomal RNA is filed under the name uncultured bacterium. RNAcentral's name for it is "partial 16S ribosomal RNA". It matches the Rfam family "Bacterial small subunit ribosomal RNA", at positions 28 to 523 of the family's 1533-position model. The record is from RNAcentral.